Molecule: unclassified non-coding RNA, 402 nt
Filed under: soil metagenome
Description: partial contains 5.8S ribosomal RNA, internal transcribed spacer 2, and large subunit ribosomal RNA
Rfam family: 5.8S ribosomal RNA (bases 1-121)
Source: RNAcentral
GAUGAAGAACGCAGCGAAAUGCGAUAAGUAAUGUGAAUUGCAGAAUUCAGUGAAUCAUCGAAUCUUUGAACGCACCUUGCGCCCUUUGGCUAUUCUGAAGGGCAUGCCUGUUUGAGUAUCAUGAACACCUCAACUCUCAUGGUUCGCCAUGAUGAGCUUGGACUUUGGGGGUCUUGCUGGCCUACGGUCGGCUCCUCUCAAAUGAAUCAGCUUGCCAGUGUUUGGUAGAGUCGCAGGUGUGAUAACUAUCUACGCUUGUGGUUUUCUGCCGGAUAACCUUCAGUGAUGGAGGUUCGCUGGAGCUUAUAAAUGUCUCUCCCCAGUGAGGACAGCUUUUUGAACGUUUGAUCUCAAAUCAGGUAGGACUACCCGCUGAACUUAAGCAUAUCAAUAAGCGGAGGA